This 46-nucleotide small RNA is filed under the name Arabidopsis thaliana (thale cress). RNAcentral's name for it is "ATSL179750". The record is from RNAcentral. Lineage: Eukaryota; Viridiplantae; Streptophyta; Magnoliopsida; Brassicales; Brassicaceae.
UUGAUUAUGUGCUCUUCUUCCAUGUCUUUGUCCAACGUUGGGAAAA